UUUUGCUUCCUUUGUAUUAUUUUAUUUGGGCUUUUCGAUUUAAGUCCAGGCCCAUUGUGGACUUAUCUUUUGUUUAUGUCCAACCCCAAUUUAUCAUUUGCUGUCUCAGAGAAUGUAUCUAGGUCACAGCGCCGUCUUUGAUAUUGUUAAGAAGGCGCCUCCGAUGAGAAUCUAGAAACGCAUGCGGCUAUAUUUAAUAGGUCCUUUAAUCCAGGGAGUUAACAACCUUCAUCCCACUCUCCCCACUAUGUACCAUUAAUCAGAGCUCAGACCCUUCAUCUUCAAGCGGCCAAAGUUCUCCUAUAAAUUGCCAUUGUGUAGUGAUGAAGACGGCCAUAUCAAUGGAAACUUCAAGUCUCGACUCUGCUAAUUAACAUCUCCAACAAUGGUUCCUUCACCAUGUUUUCUUAUUUGGAAGGCGGCCGUUGUUCAACUAUGGCGGAGGUCCGUCUUCUUCGCUUUUGGGAGGCUCGAGAUAUUACUAAUGGGUGUCACGUUAGAGCGACUACAUACAAAAACAGGACUCUCAGGCUAAGGGUCAGAGAGGCUGAUAGGUUUAAUGAGAGGUUUGGAAUAGGGGAAGUCGAGAGUGGUGGGACUUUGAUUCUGUAAGACAACAUCAACACUAAGAUACAGAGGAUCAGAACAUUGAGAGGGGCUGUGUUUUAGAAAUGCGUAGAGAUGCUCUUGAAACUAUAUGGGACUUAUUGCAUGGUGAUGCUUCUCUUACGUGAUAAAGAAACCAUAUAAUGUUGCUUUGCUAUUUCAGAUUCUCUUUUGCUUUUUAAUGUGUUUUGCAGUAACCUUUUUAAGUUGUUUUCUUGGGGAUGUGAAGGAUUGAACUUAUAUAUUGUCCAAAAAAUAACAUAAUUUCUAUUUUGUGUC
Long non-coding RNA from Raphanus sativus (radish), 885 nucleotides. RefSeq lists it as uncharacterized. Lineage: Eukaryota; Viridiplantae; Streptophyta; Magnoliopsida; Brassicales; Brassicaceae. The record is from RefSeq and is a predicted model, not a curated record. The transcript is spliced from 2 exons.